GAGAAAAUCUGCGUUUUCUUAGACCUUCUGCCAGGUCACUCAGCUAAAUCCUGAGUUCUGUCAUAGGCUCUUGCUGACAACCCUCUUACUGAGCAACCUCACAGUUUCUCAUGCUGUGCAUUUUCCCUUGCUGGAACCCGUAAUAAACCCAACCCAGUUAACUGUAGGUGCGUUCCCAGUAGUCUUCGGGGCAUUGACACCUGUGUAAAGACACUACUGAGCAUUCGGGAAAUUUUUAUUGAGCACCUUCUAUAAACCAGGUUCCCACCCUAAGUCCUAGGAAUACUGAUCAAAGCAAACAAAAACCCCUGCCCUACAAGGCUUGAAUCUUUGCAGGGGAGACAGACAAUAAACAAGAUGAGUAAAUAAAGUAGAUAGUAGCUUGGAAGGCGGUAACGGCAGAGAAAAAAAUAAAGCAGGAUUAAUUUUAGAUGGGAAGGCUUCACUGAUCUGAAAGAGAAAAGGAGUAAGCCUGGAAGUUUGGGAAAGCAUGGGAGGAACACAAAUGCAAAGGCCCUGAAGCAGGAGGAUCUCCGCCCUGUUUGAAAAACUUCAAACAACCUGGUGACUGGAUAAAAGAGAGAGCAUUGCCCAUAAUCAUCAAGUUUGGAAUCGAAUGUCCAUUAUUCAGAAGUUGUGAAACUGUGGACUUCUACCCAAUGGAAUAUUAUGCAACUAUACAAAGAAUGAGGUUGUUUCUACAUAUUGACAUGGAUAUUCACCAGAUACCAUAAUUAUUCUUUAAGGUGCAUCCAAAGUCAUUGUGUGGUCCUGGGCUCUCAUUGACUCCUGCCUUCAGGAGCCUGCAUGUUCUGGAUACAAGAGCUGUGAGGCUUCUCUCUGGUCACACUGGCAUCCUCAAGGUCCCUGCAACAGAGCAGGCAACAGAUCAGACUCUCUCAGAGACUUUGCUCCAGCUCAGUGGUUCUCAAAGGAUGACCCAGGGAUCUCUGGUUUUUAAAAUUACAGGUGCAAAAAUCUUUGUAAAACUAUAAUGAAGCCCGUAAACAAAUGAAAGAACUUUAACACACGCAUGAAAGUUCCUCUUCAGGAUCUUAAAGAAUUGGCCUUCUGACACUGAAGUGUCCUCACCCAUGUCAUAAAGUCAUACUUACGAGAAUCACAGUGGAGAAACCUAGAGGAUACCACAUUUACCAGGCUAAUAUCACCAAAGUGGGACAUUGCCACGUUCUCCUGAUGCGGUGCCUGAGAAAAUCACAGCAUCGUUUACGCUGUACUACUGUCCGAAGACUCAUAACCUGCUUCGAAUCACUUGGAAACUCACAUCAAAGGAUACAGUAUAAAACAAUUGGCUUAGACCCUUAAAAAUAUCAUUGCCUUGAAAGAAGAAAAAAAGACAUGGGAACUGUUCCCAAUUAAAGGCAACUAAAAAACACAUGGCAAUUGAAUGCAAUGCAUGUUCUUGAAUCAGACCCUAAACUGGGGUGGGGCAGGGAGGAAUAACAGAAAGAUGACUGGUGAAAUUUAAAUAUGCAUUGUAUGAUAGAUAAUUGCAUUGGAUUACGUUAAAUUUCAUGGCUUUGGUCAUUGUGCUAUGAUUUUACAGGAGAAUAUUCUUUUUCUUAGGAAAUACUAACUGAAGUAUUUGGGGGGGGGGGAUAAAGAAAUACAAUAAUAUGGGGCACCUGGGUGGCUCAGUCAAUUGAGUGUCCCGACUUGGGCUCAGGUCAUGAUCUCGCAGUUCGUGAGUUUGAGCCCCAUCGGGCUCUGUGCUGACAGCUCAGAGCCUGGAGCCUGCUUCAGAUUCUGUGUCUCACUCUCUCUCUCUGCCCCUCCCCUGCUCAUGCUCUGUUUCUCUCUCUCUGUGUGUCAAAAAUAAACAUUAAAAAAAAAAUUUUUUUAAAGAAAUACAAUAAUAUAAUGUGGCAAAUAUAAAUGAUGAGUCUGAUGGAAGGGUGUGUUCUUACAAGUCUUCUGCAGGAAAAUUAUUUUCAAAUAAGUAGUUAAAAAUAAAAAUCAUAAUUUGGAAUUUUAGAAAUUCAACUAACAUUCCUCCCACUUAAACUAAAUUAUCAAAGGCUUAUGGAAAUAAAUACAUUAAUGAAGAAAAUUGUCCUAAUUUCUUUUUUGAAAUUCCCAUUUAAAAAAUAUAAAACAAGAAAUGGAAAAAUGAGCUCAUGAUGGAAUUAAAAUAAUUCUGUUAUUCAUUAGCACAUUUUCUGAACUGAAUACUUUUUAUAAUACAGUUCUGUUUAUAAUCAAAAUGCACUUAUCUAGGACACAAUAUGAAAGUAGUUCACAGAUUUAUGGAAAUAAACAGUCUUCUUAAAUCAAUUUAAAUCAACAAGUAUAAAGUAAAAACUAUCACAUGCUACCAGUGUUUUAAGUAUCUGGAAAAAUACAAAUUAGAAACUUAGAACCUAUCCUCCCAGGACCUUAUAAUGUUAUCAAGCUAAACAUUUUUGCAUGAAUGAAUUAAAAAGUGAAAUUAAUGGCAUAUGAUUUAGUGUCCAAAUGUGAAUUAUUGGGCAGCCUUAUCCAAUGGAAAUAUAAUGCAAACCAUAUAUGUGAUUUUUAAUUUUCUAGUAGCUACAUUUUAAAAAGUAAAAAGAAACAUACUAAGUCUGAGAAAUCAGUGUGUAUUUUGCAUUUAUAGCACGUUUCAAUUUAGAUCAGCCACAUUUCAAAUACUCAACAGACCAUUAUGGCCUGUGGCUACACUUUUGCACAGAGCAUGCAUAGGAGAUGGGAGAAUGAUGGGUAAGUUUCUUCCAUAAAAAUAGCACAAUAGCAGCGUAUGGCUUAGAAACUGCAUCCACGUGACCCUUUUGUAAAUUUAAUCCAAGUUUUCCUUGGUCUCAUCAUCCUGGGGAUACAAAGGAGUUUUUAUUAAUAACAAUUAAUCAAAUUUAAUGAGCCUGUUGUUUUCCUUUGUAUGUCAUGCGACAAUGGUCUGUUGCAAAAUUCUUCACC
Long non-coding RNA from Acinonyx jubatus (cheetah), 2934 nucleotides. RefSeq lists it as uncharacterized. The record is from RefSeq and is a predicted model, not a curated record. The transcript has 7 exons. Lineage: Eukaryota; Metazoa; Chordata; Mammalia; Carnivora; Felidae.